UCAUCAUAAUAAUCGAUUUCGACUUGAUCGAUUAUGUUUUUACGUCGAUCGAUUGAUUACAAUCAGGGUUGCAUCCCCGAUUAGGCACCCCGAUACAAUCCCGAUUGAGAUCGUGGUUCAAAAAUUUUAGCCCAAUUCCAAAAGUGAUGGGUUAUCCGAAUCAAUCUGUGAAGAUCGGCGUGCGACAACGAAAUCUACCGCUAGAUGGCGAAAAGUUUGAUCGUUAAAAAUAAUCAGAUCGGAUAAAUUUUUUUUGAUCGCAGAUCCGAUCUCCGAUUUCAACUAUGGACAUACGUGUACGACAAUUCGACUAUGGCAGGACGUGUGGAACGCCUGCACUUCCAUCUUCUACGAAUUAUUAACAAAAAUGGAGCGAGAACGAGUCCUGGAUCGGUUCUCUGAAGUGGAUAUUUAUUGCCUUCAUUUAGUAUUUCUACCAAUUAUGCAGCAACAUAUAGAAGAAUAUUUCCCUGAGAGAUUUACCUUGGUAAAGAUGGAAGGCUAUGCCGUGGUUAUUUGGCCCCAAAAUGUUUAUUGUUUCCCCAGGGGUUCCAGCCGGGUUUUGAUUGGUUGAAAAUUAUUGUGUGUAAACAGGGGAGUUGUUCGUUUUCAUUUAUUUUUUAUCUGAUUCGCGUAUUAAACUUCGUGCCAAUGGGUUGUUUCUAAAUAUGUAGGUUUGUUUGUUAAUUUUAUAAAUUUUUUUUAUCGAAAUUCAAAUUUCGGUCGUGAAAGUCGGGUUCUGAUUGGUUGGUGGCAGGUUGGUGGAUUUAGGGACCCUCCUGUGCCGCAGGUUUUCGUUUUUUGGGUGAAAUUUUGUUACAGUUGGAUUCUCCAUGUAAAACUGUAUGGAAUAGGGUAUUUUUUGUGAUGAAAGGUUGGUUUGUUAAUUUUUAAUUUGUGUUGGUUUAGAAAGGACGAGGGCGGCUGUCAUUUGUCAUUUGUUUUUUAUGCUGUCAUGGAGAGAAGCGGAAAACGUCAGGUUUUUCGACGGUUCAGCCCACGCAGCCCCACAUAAUCUCGAAGGCCGACACCCAGUGGCGUUAUUGACUCAUUGAAUCUUCAUACUAUCCGCACGGCGCCGUCCUCCAUGUCUGACAUUUGUCUAUUUAUAAGGGGACACAUCUUUAAAGAGAAGAGCAGCUGCGAAAAAUAAACUGUUUAAGGAAUUAGAACAGAAUAUGGACUUUGAACAAUCUAUCGAGGAAGACGUGUCCAUCGAUACCGAAGCAGUGGAGGUUCCGGAAAUCAGAAUACAUAUUGACGAACGAGUCGAACGACGUCUAAAACAAAAAUACGGCCAUCUUCUUUGUAGACUUCCAAUCGCAAAGAAAAGAUACCUCAGACUUCGUGGAGAAGUAAUUUCUAGCUUGACUGCAUAAUUGUUUAGUAGGUCUAUUUUCAAAAACAAAUACAGAACUUUGAAUGCAAAAAUUAUCUUUUCCCUUACCUUAUCCUUUUAGAAAACGCCUUACUGACUUGUCCUGCAGAAAAUUGCAGUUUUCUUACCUGCAAAAAAUUCAAAAUAUUAAAACAAUACAAAUUUUUAUGAACUAUAAAACUGUUUCCUUCAGCUUUUCCCGACAUAGAGUAAAGUGCGAAAUGGACUGGAAUCGGCUGCACAGCAAACUUU
Molecule: long non-coding RNA, 1630 nt
Filed under: Daphnia magna
Lineage: Eukaryota; Metazoa; Arthropoda; Branchiopoda; Diplostraca; Daphniidae
Description: uncharacterized LOC123475918
Source: RNAcentral